CCCCCAGGUGGUUGAGGGCAUCCGGCUGCUCCGCAUGUCGCUCCAGUACCUGUUCGAAGCAGGCCCGGGCGGCC
RNAcentral lists this transfer RNA (74 nucleotides) under Marinobacter zhanjiangensis. RNAcentral describes it as "tRNA-Ala". The record is from RNAcentral. Lineage: Bacteria; Pseudomonadati; Pseudomonadota; Gammaproteobacteria; Pseudomonadales; Marinobacteraceae.